GGCCUUAAGAACUGCAUUAUAGGUGUCCA
Molecule: non-coding RNA, 29 nt
Filed under: Mus musculus (house mouse)
Lineage: Eukaryota; Metazoa; Chordata; Mammalia; Rodentia; Muridae
Source: RNAcentral